This 440-nucleotide ribosomal RNA is filed under the name uncultured bacterium. RNAcentral's name for it is "partial 16S ribosomal RNA". It matches the Rfam family "Bacterial small subunit ribosomal RNA", at positions 338 to 795 of the family's 1533-position model. The record is from RNAcentral.
CCUACGGGUGGCAGCAGUGGGGAAUAUUGCACAAUGGGGGAAACCCUGAUGCAGCGACGCCGCGUGAGUGAAGAAGUAAUUCGUUAUGUAAAGCUCUAUCAGCAGGGAAGAAAAUGACGGUACCUGACUAAGAAGCCCCGGCUAACUACGUGCCAGCAGCCGCGGUAAUACGUAGGGGGCAAGCGUUAUCCGGAUUUACUGGGUGUAAAGGGAGCGUAGACGGUGCGCCAAGUCUGAAGUGAAAGGCCGAGGCUUAACCGCGGAACUGCAUUGGAAACUGGCGAACUAGAGUGCGGGAGGGGUAAGCGGAAUUCCUAGUGUAGCGGUGAAAUGCGUAGAUAUUAGGAGGAACACCAGUGGCGAAGGCGGCUUACUGGACCGUAACUGACGUUGAGGCUCGAAAGCGUGGGGAGCAAACAGGAUUAGAUACCCGGGUAGUC